Myotis lucifugus (little brown bat) is the source of this 744-nucleotide long non-coding RNA. RefSeq lists it as uncharacterized. The record is from RefSeq and is a predicted model, not a curated record. The transcript is spliced from 3 exons. Lineage: Eukaryota; Metazoa; Chordata; Mammalia; Chiroptera; Vespertilionidae.
AAAGGACAGCAUGCAGCACAUAAAGCAGAGAUUUUCUUUUAUCCACUCUUCACAUCAGAGUCUGCUAGUACAGAAAUUUUCCACAUGGAAUCAAAGCUGUCACUAUAAGGCCAAUAGGACUACAUGAUUCUUCUCUGAAUGGUCCUGUAAUCCACUCCUCCUUACAACCCUACAGAGAGCACUUCAGAAGAAGCCUAGAUUGGGCGCAGGGUGGGGCCAGGCCGGGGCACCCGGAGCCCAACCGGAUCCCGCGGCCGCCCGCGCCCCUUCGCGCCCUCCCCCCACCCAAAAAGAAGAAGCCUAAAGUCUGAAAGAGAAGGAGCUAAUCAAAAUAAAAGGCAGUCUGAUGGAGCCAAGAGUAAAAAAUUCACUGUUUGAACUAACCUUCAGUAGCGCAAAAAGUCAAGAGACCACCUGUCCUGGAAUUUAUGCUUUGGAAAACAUUUAAAAUAACACAUUAGUAAUAUGGUUUACCUGAUUUGAAAUAAUAGGUGAAGCCAGACUAAGCUUUGAACAAAGAAAAUUUAUCCUAAAGUACUACUAGACUGUUUUUAUGGGAAUACAGACAGGAUAAAGUUUAUGUUACAAAAUCGGCAAUAGCUGACAAAUUGAAGGCACACAAAUUCCGAAUGAAAUUCCAAUUCUUUGAUGUUUGUGAUUCCACUGGUUCGUGUUAUCAGCAGUGCCUGGACCAGAACAGUCCAGUUUGAAAACAGGCAUUGACAAAAAAUUAUUCAUUUCUGU